CCUACGGGAGGCAGCAGUAAGGAAUAUUGGACAAUGGGCGCAAGCCUGAUCCAGCCAUGCCGCGUGCAGGAUGAAGGUGCUCUGCAUUGUAAACUGCUUUUGUUUGGGAAUAAACCCUUCUACGUGUAGAGGGCUGAAUGUACCAAAAGAAUAAGGGACGGCUAACUUCGUGCCAGCAGCCGCGGUAAUACGAAGGUCCCAAGCGUUAUCCGGAUUUAUUGGGUUUAAAGGGUGCGUAGGCGGGUUAUUAAGUCAGUGGUGAAAGCCUACAGCUUAACUGUAGAAUUGCCAUUGAUACUGAUGAUCUUGAGUAUGAUUGAGGUGGGCGGAAUGUGUCAUGUAGCGGUGAAAUGCUUAGAUAUGACACAGAACACCGAUUGCGAAGGCAGCUCACUAAGUCAUGACUGACGCUGAUGCACGAAAGCGUGGGGAGCAAACAGGAUUAGAUACCCUGGUAGUCCACGCCCUAAACGAUGAUCACUCGAUGUGUGCGAUACACUGUACGCGUCUGNGNGAAGACAUAGUGAGUCCGACCGUGGGUAGGUACGACCCGACCGAGGUUAGGUUAACGUUACGAAGUUAGAGUUAGGACGGCGUUGGAGACGNGCCGAGGACGACGACGACGGGAGGUAAGG
This 635-nucleotide ribosomal RNA is filed under the name uncultured bacterium. RNAcentral describes it as "bacterial SSU rRNA". The stretch from base 1 to 535 matches the Rfam family "Bacterial small subunit ribosomal RNA", at positions 338 to 873 of the family's 1533-position model. The record is from RNAcentral.